CCUACGGGAGGCUGCAGUGGGGAAUAUUGGACAAUGGGGGCAACCCUGAUCCAGCCAUGCCGCGUGUGUGAAGAAGGCCCUCGGGUUGUAAAGCACUUUCAGUGAGGAAGAACGCCUGGUGGUUAAUACCCAUCAGGAAAGACAUCACUCACAGAAGAAGCACCGGCUAACUCCGUGCCAGCAGCCGCGGUAAUACGGAGGGUGCGAGCGUUAAUCGGAAUUACUGGGCGUAAAGCGCGCGUAGGUGGCUUGAUAAGCCGGGUGUGAAAGCCCCGGGCUCAACCUGGGAACGGCAUCCGGAACUGUCAAGCUAGAGUGCAGGAGAGGAAGGUAGAAUUCGCGGUGUAGCGGUGAAAUGCGUAGAGAUCGGGAGGAAUACCAGUGGCGAAGGCGGCCUUCUGGACUGACACUGACACUGAGGUGCGAAAGCGUGGGUAGCAAACAGGAUUAGAUACCCUUGUAGUC
RNAcentral lists this ribosomal RNA (465 nucleotides) under Vreelandella stevensii. RNAcentral's name for it is "partial 16S ribosomal RNA". It matches the Rfam family "Bacterial small subunit ribosomal RNA", at positions 338 to 795 of the family's 1533-position model. Lineage: Bacteria; Pseudomonadati; Pseudomonadota; Gammaproteobacteria; Oceanospirillales; Halomonadaceae. The record is from RNAcentral.